RNAcentral lists this long non-coding RNA (8396 nucleotides) under Vitis vinifera (wine grape). RNAcentral describes it as "long non-coding RNA (VVIN_LNC001279)". Lineage: Eukaryota; Viridiplantae; Streptophyta; Magnoliopsida; Vitales; Vitaceae. The record is from RNAcentral.
UCCCACCAAAUUUAUUGGCCUAAAGUCCUUCAAGUCCUCAACCCCCCUUUCUUAGGAAUCAAAACUAAGAAAGUUGCAUUCAAGCUUCUUACAAAUCUCCCCGUCUCAUGAAACUAUCUAAACAAAUUCAUAACUUCCUCCUUCCCACGCAAAUUGCCAAAAGGCCAUUGAGAAGCCAUCUGGCCCUGGUACUUUUUCUCCACAACAAUAUUCCAACGCCUCAAAAACCUCCUCCUCUGAAAAGGGCUUCUCCAACCUCUCCACAUCCCCUGCUUCCAGCCUUUCAAAAAUUAACCCGUCUAUACUAGGCUUCCAUUCGCCUGGAUCUGUCAACAACUCUUGAAAAUUUCUGUCAAUCUCCUCUUUGAUUUCACUUUCCUCAGUUAAAUACCUCUCAUUCACCUUUAUUCUAUUCAGCUGAUUCCUCCUCCUGUGAGCAUUUGUCAUUUUAUGAAAAAAACUUGGUGUUUCUAUCCCCUUUUUUCAGCCAGAUUUCCCUAGACUUUUGCCUCCAUGAGACUUCUUCCAAUAAAACCCACUUCUUAUAUAACUCCCUUGCCUCCUUCCUAGUCUCUUCUUCUUCCAUUGACAGAGAUCGACCCCUUUAUUCCUUGUCCCAAUAAUCUAUUAAAAUCCAUGUUUUCUGCUUCUCGCAGUCAAUCUGUCCAAACACCUCUUUAUUCCAGUUUCUUAACAAAGGUUUUAAAGCCAUAAUUAAAGUUUAUGAUAGUUGCUUUGAUCGUGUAACUCGAUGAGAGAGAAAGAGGGUGAGAGCGUGGGGAAGGGUGACGAUGACGAGGUGGAAUCAAAUCGGAAAAGGCAGAAGUUCGGGGUGAAAUCGAAAACCUUUGAAGUAGAGGUGGAGAAGAGAAGAGGUAAAACCCUAAUAUUCAUUGUAGAAAGUAAAAAAGGUGUGUCCUCAUGGGUGAGAUUGGGGCCGGCAAGUGUCGGGAUGUUUCUGGAAGGGCUUGAACAGUGUAUUAAGGAUGGGAAAAACGACAAAUGGGAGAAGGGAUGGAAGGAAAACUGGAGAAGGUAUUCCAUGGUGCGUGAAGUUAACAAGGCAGGAAGCUUUAUCAGGCUAGGAGUGGUAGAUGCGGAGGAGAAAAGGUUCAGUAUCUGCAUCCCGAGAGGCAGAGGGGGUAGAGAAGGAUGGCCAGUUAUGGCGGAUGUGGUGCGGAACUUGUUUAAAAGGACUGAUAAAAGGGAGGAAAACAAUGGCGAGCCAAUCCCCGAAAGAGUGUCAUCUGAAAUGGGGAAUAGGAAUAGCAUCUGGUUCAGGAUGGAAUUUAAGGAAGAGGACAUCCGCAGAAAUGUGGAUCGGUUGGGACAAUGCUUGGUGGGAAAAUGGAACCCUAAGGCAGCAGAAGGAAGGGAUUUGGCGAGGAUGGGAUGGCGGAUGGAGAAUGCUUGGGAGUUAAAAGGGAAGUUAGGGUUGGCCUGGAUGGAUGAGGGUCAAGCCCUAUUGGAAUUUGAAAAGGCGGCAGAAGCCAGGAAAAUCUUCAAUGUCGGGGAAAGGUUGGUGGGGGGGAUUCACGUUGAUCUGGAGCGGUGGAGUCCGAGCUAUGGGUGUUUGGAAGAAGGGGAUAUAGAAGAGGAACUUUGGGUGAGGAUUAAAGGUUUGCCGUUGUCGCUCUAGGUUCCUAGCAUUUUGCGAAGGGUGGGAGAUGAAUGUGGGGGCUUUGUUUCCAUGGAUGCCUCGACGGAGAAAAUGGAAAACCUUCGGUGGGCGAGGAUUCUAGUGAAGACAAAGAGAGGCGAGUUGCCAAGCUCGAUAGAAAUCGGAGUGGAAGAGACCACAUAUCACCUUCCGCUCUGGUGGGAAGUAAAGCCGAUGAUCAGACAGAAGACGGAGGACUGUCGGGGAGCAACAGUUCGUGAGGAAAGGGAUGACGGAGGCGCACGCGCUGGCCGGCGAGUGGAGGAGUGGGGCAGUGCAGGUCUCGAGGCACUACUACGGUCAGACGAUGUGACGGAAGUGCAGGCGGACGGGAUGGGUAGGGUCUCGUCGGUGGGCCGGAUCCAAUUCGGGUCGAUGCUUCGGGCGUCAAAGGAUGGGGCGGAAGAUGGGUUGACAUUGGAUGGGCUUAAUGGACCCAAUCUAGGUAUGAGGAGGGACGGGGGGCCUAGCCUGCUUUCAACAUUUGGAUUAGUAGGGUCAAAAGAAGUUAGAAGUGGUGGGCUUGGGCCGACAGGCAGAUCGAAAGGCCCAAAAGGCAAGGAGAAAGUGUUGGAGGAGGACCUUGGGCCGCGAUUUGGGCUUUCGAAUCAAAGCAAGUGUAGCGGGCCGUCCUCGAGUUGGAUGCAGGAGAAUGGGGCACAGCUAGGUGGGCCUCCAAGUAAGAAGAGAACAGGCCCGAAGGUGAGGCAACCUAAAUCAGGCCCGAUGGAGGCCUUAGUUCUCUCUGGACUGCUUGGUGAAGCUAACAUUGAGCUUGAAUUCCUAAGAGCGAGAGAGAAGGAAACUGAGAUUGCUCAGAAGGUCAGCCCCCUCAAGGCGAUGGUAGACAGUGUUCUACAGGAUGAAGCUAUGAGGUAUGAGGCUUUAUCUUCUCUAGGGGUUUUCUGGGAAUCGGGGAAUCCGUCUCUUUCUUCUCUAUUUUCUCUUGAUCGGACUCCAGAGGGGGAGUUCUUUGAUCAUUCUAGGGUAUUAAGGGAGGUCUGCCAGAAUGGCAGGGAAUUACAAAGGCAAGGUGCAGCUGGCUCUAGGGCGAGUGGUAGUGCUUGCUGGGACAUGGUUGAAUUCAAAGGCCCUCUAGCAACGGCAAGGGAACAGGAGGGGGGGCCCUCACAGUUUGAGAUUCAAGAAGAAAGAGGGGAAGGGGACCUGGAUUGGCAAGAAAGUAGUCUAGCAAGGUUCAGCCAAUUUCUGGGCUUUUCGACUGAUGGUCUGGAAAAGGAUAUUUUAAAUUUUUUAGUCAAAAUCAGGAAAAGAAGGGAAAAGAUUCAUAGUAAAGGAUUUAUUGGAAAAAUCGAGGUUUGAAAGGGAGCUAAAGAGGUUGGAAUGCUCAGUGAAUUGUGAGGGGGAUGGCAAAAAGAAAGGCCCUAUUCAGGGCAAAGGGGUGCAGACGGAGGUUGAUUAAUGAAUUUCAAACUGUUGAGCUGGAAUGUGAGAGGGAUGAACGAAAGCUUGAAAAGGAAGGUUAUUAAAUCGGUCAUUAAGAAGUAGAAGGUGGACCUUUUCUGUAUCCAAGAGACAAAAAUUCAGGAUAUGACUGACAGGGUGGUGAGAAGUUUAGGGACGGGUAGGUUUUUAGAGUGGAAAGCCCUGAAUGCGUGUAGCUCGGCUGGGGGUAUCCUAAUUUGUUGGGAUAAAAGAGCACUGGAGCCGUUGGAGUGGGAGGUGGGUCAGUUCUCUUUAUCCUGCAGAUUCAGAACUAUGGAGAAUGGGGUGACUUGGGCUUUUACGGGGGUAUAUGGCCCGUUCAUUAGAAUUGAAAGGGAGUGGUAGUGGGAAGAAGUAGGGGCGAUCAGAGGAAUUUGGGAGGGGCCUUGGUGUCUAGGUGGUGAUUUCAACAUUACCCUGGCUCAAGGUGAGAGAAGUAGGCAAGGAAGAGUAUCUUCAGCCAUGAGGAGGUUUGCGGAAGUUGUAGAUGAGCUAGGUCUUGUGGACCUUCAAUUGCAAGGGGGUGCCUUCACGUGGAGUGGGGGUUUGAAUAGUCUGUCAAAGGCUCGUCUAGAUAGAUUUUUGGUGUCCCCUUGCUGGCUUGAUCAGUUUAGUAGGGUGAGCCAGCGCAGGCUUCCCAAGCCGACCUCGAAUCACUUUCCAGUACUACUUGAGGGGGGUAGUUGGAGGAGAGGGCUUGCCCCCUUCAGAUUCGAAAACAUGUGGUUCAAAGUCGAGGGGUUUAAGGAUUUAAUCCGGAGUUGGUGGUGGGGAAUAGAGGUCAGGGGCAGCGCCAGUUUUAGAUUGUCGGCAAAAUUGAAGGAACUGAAGCAGAAACUUAAAGUUUGGAAUAGGGAGAAGUUUGGUAAUCUAGAAAGUAACAAGGAGGCUGCGAUCCAGCAAGUGGAGUUUUGGGACAGAGUGGAGGAUGAAAGAAGCUUGGCAAUGGAGGAAUUAGCUUGUAAGAAGGAAGCCAAGGAGGAUUAUGCCAAGUGGGUAGAUCUGGAAGAAACUCAUUGGAGGCAGGUGUCUAGGGAACUUUGGUUGAAGGCAGGUGAUAGGAACACGGGAUACUUCCACCGAAUGGCUUCUGCCCAUAGGAGAAUUAAUCACAUGGACAGAAUUAAAAUCAAUGGGAUUAGACUAACAGAGGAGCGUGAAAUUAGAGAAAGGGUAGCAAAUGCUUUUCAGCAGCAAUUUUCAGAAAAUUCGGGGUGGAAGGCGGACAUUGGAAGCCUUCCUUUUAAUCAAAUUAGCAUGCAAGAGGCAGAGAUUUUGGAGGCUCCCUUCACGGAGGGUGAAGUCCAGUCAGCCCUAAUGGAAAUGAAUGGGGAUAAAGCCCCAGGCCUUGACGGGUUCUCUGUUUUCUUUUGGCAAUGCUAUUGGGAUUUCGUCAAGGAGGAAAUAAUGGAGAUGUUUAAGGAGCUCCAUGUCCAGAAUACGUUCCUUAAGAGUAUUAACAACACGUUUCUGGUGCUGAUUCCUAAGAAAGGAGGGGCUGAGGAUUUAGGAGACUUCAGACCCAUCAGCCUAUUGGGGGGUCUCUAUAAGCUGAUGGCAAAGGUGUUGGCCAAUAGGCUUAAGAAAGUAAUAGGUAAAGUAGUAUCCCACGAUCAGAACACGUUUGUUACGGGUAGGCAGAUUCUUGACGCCUCUCUAAUAGCAAAUGAAGCGAUAGACUUCUGGAAUAAGAAGGGGGAUAAGGGGGUUAUCUGCAAGCUAGAUAUAGAGAAGGCCUAUGACAGUAUCAACUGGCAAUUCCUCUUGAAGGUCAUGGAAAAAAUGGGAUUUGGCGCUAAGUGGCUGAGGUGGAUGUGGUGGUGUAUUUCCACAGCCAAAUUUUCAAUUAUGGUGAACAGAACGCCAACUGGUUUCUUUUCGAGUUCAAAAGGGCUGCGACAAGGGGACCCCCUGUCCCCUUACCUUUUUGUCAUGGGGAUGGAAGUGUUGAGUAUUCUUAUCAGAAGGGCUAUGGAGGGGGGUUUCAUCUCAGGGUGCAAAAUUCAACGCGAUAGAGGGCGAGCUGUCCACAUUGCUCAUCUGCUUUUUGCAGAUGACACCAUUGUCUUUUAUGAGGCGAAGAAGGAGUAUUUAACGAAUUUAAAUUGGAUUUUGUUCUGGUUUGAAGCCGCGUCCAGGUUAAGAAUUAAUUUGGCUAAAAGCGAGAUUAUUCCAGUAGGGGAGGUGCAAAGGAUAGAGGAGCUGGCUGUGGAGUUAGGGUGUAGGGUGGGGCAGCUGCCAACUGUGUAUUUGGAGCUACCUUUGGGGGUGCCUAAUAAUGCUGCCUAUGGGUGGGAUGGGGUAGAAAAGAAAAUGAGAAGGAGGCUCGCCCUUUGGAAGAGCCAAUAUAUUUCAAAGGGUGGGAGAAUCACUCUAAUCAAAAGCUCUAUGGUAAGCAUGCCAGUGUAUCAGAUGUCUUUAUUUCGUAUGCCCUGUUCUAUGGCAAGAAGGUUAGAAAAAUUGCAAAGAGACUUUUUUUUUGGGGGGGGGGGGGGGGCCCCCUGGGAGGAAAAAUUCUAUUGGUUAAAUGGGAAGGGGGGUUGGGGGUAAAGAAAAAAGGGGGGUUGGGAAUUUGGAAGUUUUUCUUUUUAAAAAAAGCUUUAUUUGGGAAAGGGCUUUGGGAAUUCCCUUUGAAAAAGGNNNNNNNNNNNNNNNNNNNNNNNNNNNNNNNNNNNNNNNNNNNNNNNNNNNNNNNNNNNNNNNNNNNNNNNNNNNNNNNNNNNNNNNNNNNNNNNNNNNNGGGGGGGGGUCACAUGGAGAGGAAAGUUCAUAUGGUUAAAUGGGAAGUGGUGUGUGGGGAUAAGGAGAUUGGGGGGCUGGGAAUUAGGAAGUUUAUCAUUAUGAAUAAAGCAUUACUUGGCAAAUGGACUUGGAGAUUCGCUUCGGAUAAGGAGGCCCUUUGGAAGCAAGUGCUGAUGGCUAAGUUUGGUCAAGAGGAUUAUGGUUGGAAGACCAAAAAGGCGGUGGGUGCGUGUGGGGUGGAGGUGUGGAAGGAGAUCUUAAAGGAAGUUGGAUGGUGCUGGGACAAAAUGGUGUUUAUUGUGGGGAAAGGUAACAAAAUCAAAUUCUGGACUGAUGUGUGGUGCGAGGAGGCAGCGCUGUCCCAAAGGUUUCCGCAUCUCUACAUUUUGGCAGCCAAUAGAAAUGCAACAGUUGAAGACUUGUGGGACCAGAAUGCAGGGGAAGGGGGCUGGAAUUUGAGUUUUAUAAGGGAUUUUAAUGACUAGGAGGUGGAGAUGGUAGGCAAGUUGCUCCAAGCGUUGAGAGGACUUAGGUUAACUUGGGAGGAUGACUCGAUUUCUUGGAAGGGCGGGGGAAGUGGGCAGUUUAAAGUGAAGGAAGCGUAUAGCUGGCUGGAUAGGCCUAUGGAGGUCAACUUUCCGAAAAACAAGAUUUGGGUGGGAAGAGUCCCAACUAAAAUCAUGUUUUUUGCGUGGGAAGCGACUUGGGAAAAGAUUUUGACUCUUGAUAGGCUCCAAAAGAGAGACUGGCAGCUUCCUAAUCGGUGUUUUUUGUGUGCUUGCGAAGCGGAAAGUGUGGAUCAUUUACUUAUUCAUUGUACAGUGGCUAGAGUGCUUUGGGACUUAGUGUUGGGUUUAGUUGGGGUCAAGUGGGUGUUCCCUAAUACUGUAAAGGAGGUUUUAUAUAGUUGGGGGGUGCUUUUGUGGGGAAAAAAAGGAAAAAAUUCUGAAAUUCCAUUCCGUUAUUCAUUUUUUGGAUGGUUUGGAAAGGAAUAGAUUAGCCUUUAAGGGGAGGGGGGGUUUAGCAAUUCAGAGGUUUAAAUAUUCUUUUAUAUGUAAUUUCUGGGGUUGGGCUAAAUUGUAUAUGGUAGAGGAGCCACUUUCCCUUAUAGAUUUCCUGGAGUGGUUUGCCUCCAGUUAAGGGGUGGUUUGUUUUUUGGCUUUUUGCUUGGUUGGCCUUUGUUGCCUUGUAUACACCCUGUAUACGUUGGGGCUAUUCAGCCUUUUCUUUUAUUGAAUUGUGUUUGCUUAUCAAAAAAAACAAAGGUUUUAAAGCCUUCAAUUUCUUAGUCAAGAUGAAACUAGUUGAUCCGCUCACUUGAAUCCCCUCCCACCACUAUUUUAGCACCUCUUUAAAGCCCUCACUUUUCAGCCACAUAUUCUCAAAUCUAAAAGGCGUGGGUCCUCUCCUCAUUCCUCCCCCAUCUAGAAGAACCAGGGCAUGAUUAGAAAUCGGCCUAGCCAAAACAGUUUGGACCACCCCCUAGAAAUGAGAUUCCCACUCCUCAGAAAUAAGGAAUCGAUCAAUUCUUGACUUUGAUCGAUUAUUAAGACCUCCACACCACGUGAAACUCCCUCCUUGAAGAGGCAAGUCCCUUAAAUCUAGCUCCUCGACCACCUCUGAAAAUCUCCUCAUCUCUUGGGACAAUCGACCCCCUCUGCUCCUCUCAGAGAGGAAUCUGAUCAUGUUGAAAUCUCUUGCUACGCACCAAGGUUCAUUCCAUAUCCCUCUAAUUGGCCCCAACUCACUCCAAAGUUCUUCUCUCUCGACUUUCACCGUGGGGCCAUAAACUCUUGAGAAACACCAACAGAAACCAUCCUCUCAGUUCUUAAAACGACAAGAAAUAGUAAAUUUGCCCACCUCCAUCUCCUCUAAUUGCAGUAUCCUAUUAUCCCAAAACACCAAAACCCCCCCAGCUGCCCCCCUGGAAUUUAAAACCCCCCACUCCAAGCAUCUUCCAACCCUGAGGCUUUUGACCAAACCAUUCGACAUCUCCUGGAUUUUUGUUUCCUGGAGACGCACUAAGUCAACCUUCUGUGAUUUAAUCACCUCCUUUAUUAAUUUUCUCUUUUCCCUAUCGUUUGCCACCCUUACAUUCCACGACAGGAUUCUUAACUUCAUCUAACAGCCUCUUGAUGGCCCCGAUCCCCUUCUAUUCCACCAUAAUUCAUUGACUACUCUAGUUUCUUUAACUCCCAGUCAAAUUUUGAUAGUCUCUGGCCUUUCCUCUUUCUUCCGGUGACCCUCUCGGAAACAUCCCUUCUUUCCCUUAUUCUGUUAAGGAGUUGCAAGAUUUCUCUUUCAAAGCCCUCCGCAGGCAUUCCCAAGUACUGACAAAAUCUUGCCAGACAACUAUACCUCCAAGAAUCCUCGUCAUCAUCUUCUUUCUCAGCCCUAUCGUCCCUCCCCUCUUCCACCAAAAAAGAAAUACCCACUCCCAUCUGAUCGUCCCUUUCUUCCACCGAACACACUCUCAACGGAGUAAAGUUUAACCUCCCUUCACUUUCCUUCACCACAGUGUCGAUUUCACACCUUUCUUCCAUUGCCA